CUCUCCUCUGCCACUUUUGAAAUUGCCGCAGCUCCUCUCCCUCUAUGCCAUUUCAGACUCCUUUCACUCCGAUAACGACAAAACGGAGAGGUCUCCCGACGACCCUCACGAUAGUAAGUCCUCCUUGGCUUAUCCUUUUCGUUUUGUUUAUUAUUAUUUUUUAAAAGGAGAAAGAAAAGAAGAAGAUAGCAAAAUAAUAAUAAAAAACCAGUAAAAUCAAAGAAAAACCAGAAAAAAAUAAAAUCAUCUUUUGAAAAAUAUUCUUUGUAUUCUCAAUAUUCUCUCUGUUUUCAAAUAUAUUUUACACCGAAAAAAAUCCCUCCCCCUUGUUACAGACUUUCAUCGGCUUUAUAUAGCCGAUUAAAACUAAAAAUCUGAAAAAAAAAUCAAAAACCCCACUUCUUUCUGUUAUUUGCUGUGCUUGUGUCCCCCUUUUUUGCAGGUUUGGUGACCAUGGAGUGCGCGCGACGGACGCGGAGCGACAAACACGGUGUGCAGGCACUGUUGCGGCGUGCGUGUGGGAGCUGCUGCGCCUAGGCUUCUUGCUGGUGUUUUGGGCCAUUUUCUGUUGGACUAGGGUUGAAAUUGGCUAUUGGGUUUUAAUUUUAUUGGGCCUGCUAUUGUAUUUUAUUAUUGAUUGGGCAAGGCAAAUAAUUGGUAUUACAGCUGCCCCUCUUUGCUCGUUAUCGUGUGACGAGAAUGGAGCAAAGACUUAAAAAGACUAAUUUUUGCCUGGCCAUAUGGACCUUAGCAUUAGUAGCCUCGUUCCUUCCCUACUGCAUCUUCAGAGGUAUAGGAACUGGUGUUUCAAUCUACUCUACUGUAAUGUCAGAGAGAUAGGAUUCGUACAUUGUAGCUUCUCACAAGAACAAAAUUUGUUAUCUUUAAUCUGCUCCACUGCAACUUCAGGAAGAUAAGACUUAUAGCUUCAACUUGUUCUGCUACAAAAUAAAUCUGAUGCGAUCUGCUCUGCUGCAACUUCAAAGAGAUGAGAUCUGUGGUUUUAAUCCACUCCAUUGCAACUUCAAGGAGAUAGGAUUGUUGACUUUAAUCUGCUCCAAUGCAACUUCAGGGAGGUAAAAUCUGCCAUCUUCGAUUUGCUCCACUACUGCUUAGGGAGAUAAGAUCUGUAAUUUUCAAUCUAUUCCACUGCUACCCAGGGAGAUAGAAUUACUGGCUUCAAUGUACUCCACUGUAACCUCAGGGAGGUAAAAUCUGCCAUCUUUGAUCUGCUCCACUACUGUUUAGGGAGAUAAGAUCUGUAAACUUCAAUUUGUUCAACUGCAAUGUCGGGGAAACCAGAUCCGCCAUCGUAGCUUCAAUCUGUUCCACUGCACUGCUAAGGAAGUAAGAAUUACUGGCCUCAAUGUACUCCACUGCAACUUCAGGGAGGUAAAAUCCGCCAUCUUCGAUCUGCUCCACUACUACUUAGGGAGGCAAGAUCUAUAAUCUUCAAUCUACUUCGCCGCCAGUAUGGGAAGAUAAAAUAUGUAUAUUCGAUCCACUUCGCUACCAAUAUAGGAAGACAGGACCUACUAUCUUUGAUCUACUUCACGUCAGUACAUGAAGACACGGUCUGUUUUCUUCGACCUACUCCACCACCAGUAUGGGGAUGCAAGAUCUGUUUCUUUGAUCUACUUCAUGCCAGUACAUAAAGACAAGAUCUGCUUUCUUUGAUCUGCUUCGCCACCAGUAUGGGAAGGCAAGAUAUGUAUAUUCGAUCCACUUCGCUACCAAUAUAGGAAGACAUGACCUACUAUCUUUGAUCUACUUCACGCCAGUACAUGAAGACACGAUCUGUUUUCUUUGACCUACUCCACCACCAGUAUGGGGGGACAAGAUCUGGUAUAUUCGAUCUACUUCACGCCAAUACAUGAAGACAAGAUCUUUUGUAUUCAACCUGCUCCACUGUUGCUUAGGGAGAUAAGGCUUCAUGAUUUCACUGAUCUGCUCUCUGUAGAACAUGACCUGUAUGAUUUAUUUUAUGAACCAAUUAUGCCUAAUGAUUAGGAUGUCAUGAUCAGAAUGAAUCAAAUGCCCCUAACUAGACAUGUAUGAAUGACAUUUGAAUGAAAGCAAAAUGUCAUGAAAAUGAUAUUUUAACGCUUGAGUUAUUAUUACUCCAUGUUUAUUAAGGUCUUAUCGCUUAAUAUACUAUAGCGCCUUUAUCCUAGGCUGAAGAACCCAAUAAGUACUUGACCAAAUUGCCCCCCACUGUAAACCUCCAAGUUUGAUCCACUGGGAUGCAAAAAAUUGUACCAUCUUUUCCCGUUGUAACCCAAGAGUAAAAGAUUUGGCCUUUUCUCAAUCCUCUGUUAUCACAAUACAUGAUGUGAAACUUUUUGGUCUCUUACACCAUUCCCAGGGUGUUGUACCAAAUGCUCAUGCACAAAUGAAGAAAUCUUAUCCAAUAACAACUUCCUCUUAUUAUUCGGUGAUCAUUGUUUGCUUGUUCAUUGAAUCUUUGUCACCAACACGAUAUCUUGCCAUUUUGUUAGACAAGAAAAUUCAAAGGGAUAGUCUUAAUUUAGACUCUUCUUUAUCAUUCCAACCUAGUGCGUUCUAAACAAUAGUCCUGUUUGAGGUUCCUAUAUUAUUCAGAAACUUCUAGAGUAAUAUGCAAAACUUCCCUUGUGAAAGUUUUAUUAGUCCAUUAAUCAUUAUUCUAAUGCAACAUGCUUGCAAAAAAGAUUAUGGAUAAGAAUAGAGUUGGUUCUGAGAUAGCUUGAAAUGAAUAAGUUGUCAAGGAUAAUAAAGAUAAAUGACAAAGAAAUGGAUUUAGAAAUGUGUAUCUUGGAAAUGAAUGAAGUGUUCCAAGAAUAACAAAAAUGGUAUAAGGAUUAGGUGCCCUAGAUAUCGUAGCUUGAACUUCUCUGUACAAACUUGCUGAAGACCUUUCUGGGUUUGACAUGUGUUUAGGAGAUCUACCAUACUCUAUCGAUGCCCCAAGAUGUCGCAUACCCUUUCCUGUUGAUUCUGGUAUAGCAAGACCACUGUAUAUCCCAUUCUGAUCAGUAUUUGAGCUGCUCUGAUUACUUCAUGCCCCAUUCUGAUCAAUAUUUGAGCCGCCCUUUUCGGGUUUUCAACUCAAAUCCCCUUUGGUCUAAGGCGCCCUUUGCGAGUUUUCACCUUAGCCUCUCCAUUUUUACUUUUUCAUUUUCAUUUUCAUCACUUCUUUUUUUCUUUUUUCUUUUUUUUUUGGGACUCAAACUGCCCUUUGCGGGUUUUUACCUUGGUCUUCUCCUUCUUUAAGCAAAGUAUUUCCUGACUGAAUCUGAGUUUACAAGACUUUGCAGGUUUAUCAUCCAUCUUACUCAAAAUUAAAGCUCCUUUGGAAAAGGCCUUCUUUAUAACAUAAGGUUCUUCCCAAUUUGGCAUCCAUUAUAAUUUUUGUAGAGUGAGGAGCUUCUUCAGCAUUAGGUCGCCAUCGUGGAAUUCUCUGGGACAAACCUUUUGCUAUAGGCUCGCAUCAUUCAUUUCUUGGUAUAUUUAACCUUGAUGAAUAGUUUCUAGCCUUUUUCUUCAACUAGGUUUAACUAGUCGUAUCGGGAUUGGAUCCUCAUCCUACUUUAGCUCAGCCAAAACUCAAAGAGAAAGAAUUUCAACUUCAAUGAAAAACGUGAUAAACUGGAAAGAGUGGCAUUGCCCCGAUAGAGUUUUCAUUGCACCAUUCAUGAUAUUCACCUUGAACAUACUGCAAAUUUCUGAUAUCGUGCUGUUGCUCAGAUUGCAAUGACGGCGCUUAAACCGAGUACAUCCUGGUAUCACCAUGCGAAGGCAUCUUUGAAUGCUUGAAGUAACCCAACAACGUAUUGCUUUUUCGGUCAUGCAUGUUCCCUCAAGGUCACAGUUUCUAUUGUCUCCUCAUGAGGUAAAAUUUUCUUCCUGCUCUACCAUCCUUAAUAAGUCCAGAAAUAAGCUACGAUCCAUGUCAUCUUCAAAGUUGUGAGAUCCCUCUAAACACAUGUCUCACUCAAAAGGAGAUUCUAAAUCUGUAGCAGUGUCAUUCAUGUCAUUGAUAUUUGGGGACACAUAAUGGGUACCAAAAAAUAUAAAAAAGAAUGUAUGAAUAAUAUGAAUGAAUGAAUGAAUGAUUUGGCAGGAGAAAUCCAAUAAAAUAAAGAAAACGUAAAGACUGAAAGAACAUUUGCUCAAAGAUGAUUGCAAUAAUGUAUUCAUUAAAAAUAAUAAUGUUCAGACCUGAGCCUAUUUCACAAAGGAGUUCUUAUUACUUCUAGGCUAAAAGCAACAAAUGUGUUUUGAACAUUACUCUAACAGACUCUAAAUAAUAUAGGGGUUUCCUCUGCAGUCCCAUUAUUUUUAACAGCUCCCAGGCGAAUAUUUGACCAGAAAGCAUUGCAUUCCCUCCAUUAUCAAUCAUGAUUGGGUAAUGGGUUUUCUGCACUUGAUGACUCACCAAACUUGACAACACCCAUGUCGAUGAGUCUUUCAACUUGCUUCUUGAAGGCAAUGCAAUUCUCAAUCGAGUGUCCCGUAAUUCCCGCAUGGUAUUCACAUUGCGCGUUCGCAUCAUACCAUUUGGGAUACGGAGGUUGUAGAGGCUUCAUAGGAAAAGGGGAAAUAACAUGGGUAUCAAACAGAUUUUGAUACAGUUUCCUAUAUGGUACUGGAAUUGGCGUGAAUCGGGGCCUCUCUGUGUUUUGUCCUGUACCAGCUUCCUGUCUCGAUGAACCUUGCUGGUUAGUAGCCACCUUUCUUGGCUGACUUACAGUAACUGAUUUAGAGUAACCCAUGUUGUUCACCUCAUCUUCUCUUCUCCUUGAGACUGACCUCUUGUUACUCUCUCCAGCAUCGAUCUUUCUAUUUCUUAUGGCAUUUUCGAUCAUCUUGCCAUUCAUGAUUAUGUCGGGAAAUUUUUUUGUGGCACUCCCCAACAUAUGUGUAAUGAAUGGUGCCUUCAGUGUGUUAAUGAACAUCAUAGUUAUUUCUUUUUCCAAGAGCGGUGGCUGAACUUGGACUGCGAUCUCCCUCCAUCUCUGUGCAUACUGCCUAAAGCUUUCACUCGGCUUCUUCUCCAUGUUUUGAAGGGUGAUUCUAUCAGGAGCCAUGUCUGUUACAUGACUAUAUUGUUUCAUGAACGCCUGUGCCAAAUCCCUCCAUGAACCAAUCGUGGUACGACUCAAUUAGUUGUACCAUUUAGAUGUUGCCCCUGAAAGGCUAUCCUGGAAACAAUGUAUCAAUAGCUGGUCAUUGUUAACGUAUCCAGCCAUUCGCCUGCAGAACAUGGUGAUGUGAGCUUCUGGGCAGCUUGUCCCAUUGUACUUUUCAAAUUCAGGCAUCUUAAACUUAUGAUGAAGUACUAAAUCUGGUACUAAACUCAGCUCUUUUGCGUCAAUGCCUCGAUAACUCUCAGUGACCUCCAUCGCCUUGAACUUCUCCUCGAGCCACCUACACCUUUCCUCUAACUGUUUCGGUAACUCCUCCUUCAUUCUUUCCUUCUCAACCACUUCAUCAAAGUCAGGAAUGACAGAGUUAACAGGAUUAUUUUCAGGAUUAGAACCCGGCCCAGUUUGGAGGUUCGAAAUACCAGCCCGAAACUGCUGAGGCAUGAUAGUGACAGUAGAUUUGCGCGGGUAUUCAGCUUGGGCUCGCAUAUGUGGAGGGGUGAAACCUGGAGUGUAAAGAAUUUCAUCAUCAUUUCCCUCAUCGACAUUUGCCAUGGGACCCUUUCCUUUAUCACUUCCCUUAGUUAUCAAUUGGGUUAACUUUGCCACUAUAUCUUCUUGGGAUUCUCGCAUCUUCUCAGACAUCUCUUGUUUCAUCUUGUCUAACCGCUCCUGCAUUUGUAGUUGAAGCCGGUCUUGCAUCUCCUUCUGGUACUGUUCGAGCUUUUCUAAUCUCUGAUCCAUAUCUUUUGUCUUUGCUCGAGUGCCGUAUCGGUGUUGGGUUGGUUGGUUGGAUUCCAGGUUAAUUGAGCAAUAAUUUUAGUUAAUUAGGAUCUUUGAAUAAUCUUUGAUGCAUAUGAUGUAAUGAAAUACCAAUGCAUGAAAUGAAUGCAUAAAGAGACGUUGAUUCUAAUUCAAUUCCAUUUAGAAAACCUUACUAGAGGACAAAUUUCUUUACAUAAAGCGGAUAUAUAUACGGCUUUGCCCUCAUACUCGAAGCAAAGACAUCUUCUCCUUUUUCAUCCAGAUGUUAAGAUAAACGUCGCGAACUUCCAAUGGAUAUCACUGCUAGCUCCUUCAGCUUGAUUCUUGUCGUAAUCCGUUGUCUGCCUAUCCUCGUAAUGCUCAUUAGCUUCUUUAAGAAAUUUGGAAUGUUGAAAGCUCUUAGACAAAUCAUCUUGAAUCCUCGGGCCCCAAAGUAAAGUCACGAAUUCUUCUAUCGCCCUUCUUGUAUUUCUUGGAAUAUAUUCAGGCUGCCGUACUAUUUUCCAUUUUAUCAAGAAACCCAUUUUCUUAUGAUAGGCUUUCUAAAUUAGUAAUCAAACUUGAAUCAACAUCUCUUUUCUACAAUGCAAAUGCAAUGCAAUCAUAACCAAAACAAAACAAAACGGGUUAGUAUCGGGUAUAAACAUUAAAUCCAAUACAAUCAAGAAAUAAUAAAAACUCCUAGUCAGGUAUCUACUAAGGUUUAGAGUAAUUCUACCUAGGGUAAGUUCCUAAGGUUCACUAUAUGCGGUUUGGCUUCUAAGGUAAAGGUACCCGAACCAGCAGAUUUCUCGAUCUUCACCCAUUAUAGGCUCAUAUGGAUCAAGUUCAGUUCAGGGGAAUACAUUUCCCUAUGGCUGCACGGAGAUGAAAAUCUCACGAAGACAUAGGUACGGAUGUAUCCCGGAAGCAGUCUACUACCCUGCACGAAGGUGAAAACCUCACGAAGGACUAGUUUCUCACUCCCAUUUAAGGGUAAAAUGCAAAAUGCAAAUGCAAAGUUACCAACAUACUAUGGUAAAAAAAUGAGUAUGAAGGGAAAUCAUGAUUUUAAAACCCAAAUUUGAUUUUUCGAUCACAAGACAGACAAAUAACCAAUUUAUGGCUCGACUCUCUAGUGUCCCCAGCGGAGUCGCCAAGCUGUCGAAACCGUUUUUUGAAAACAAAAACUUAGUUGUCGACUUUUAAAAAAAAUAAAACUGGAGUCGCCACCGAUCCUUUUAUUAAGGUGUGAUCGGCCCACCUUAAAAAAAUAUUUUGGCCUACGAAUUUUGAGAAAACGAGUCCGGGAGUCAGUUACGCACGAGGAAGGGUUAGCACCCUCGUAACGCCCAAAAUCGGUACCAAAUUGAUUAUUUGAUGUCUUAGUGUCGAAAGUUAAAAAAAAUUUAAAAAUAAGCUUGAAUGAUGAAAUUUGCAAAAGGAUAACCAAUUGUUCAAGUCAUGUAAAGAAAUCGGGUCCCAAUACGUUAGGGUACGAUUCCUCAUAAUCUCCGAACUUUGAAUAUCACUUUUAUUUUAUGCGAAAAUCUUCAUUUCGAGAAAGUAACAGGCCACACCCAAUACGUUAGGGCACAACAAGUUAAGUUCCCAAAAAUGAUUUUUAUACUAAUGCAUUUUGAAUAAAGAAUAGUCUCAGUCAUUUAAGAUUGACAAAGAAAAUUAGAACCCAAUACGUUAGGGCUCAAUUUCCCUCAAAAAUCCCAAACCUCAAAUAAUGCUUUUAUUCAAAAAAAAACCUUUAAAUCAAGAAAAUAACCUUGAUGAAUGGUUAAAACCAAAAAAUAUUUUCAAAAGGGUAUGUUAAAGUUAUUAUACAAUAUGAUACAGAUCCUUUAAUUUACAGCAUAUACGAAUAAAUAUUCGCAAAUAUAUAUAUACAAAUACAAUAUAUCAGUAAAGUUGCAAACAUAUGUACACAUAUAUCAAACACACAUACCAGCAUACAUCUAAAAAGAGAGAAUGGAAUAUAUCAAAUAAAACAAAUACAAAUACAUGUGUUGAAAACAAAAUAAAAGUAUAAAAAUACGCAUAUAUAUAUUUACAAAGAAAAACAAAACAAUAUAUAUAAUAUAUAAAUAAACUACGAAAAUAUAUACAUGUAUGUGAAAAUAUGUAUGAAUUAUAAAAUGGAAAAAUGUAUAUGUAUUAUAAAAUGUAAAUUUAUAUACAUAUAUAAACUAUAUAUAAAAAACUAAGAAGAUAAUAUAGUAAUAAAAUAUAUAAAAUAUGUACACGUAUUUUAAAAACAUUUAAAAUAUAUAUACCUAUAUAAAAUGCAAACAUAUGCGUGUAUAUAUGUAUAAUAAUAAUAAUAAUAAUAAUAAUAAUAGUAAUAUAUAAUAUAAUAACAAAAAUAACAGCAACUUAAUAACAAGAACAAUAUUACAAACUAAUAUAUAAUCUAAUUUGUAAAAGCAAAUACAAUGGACUAAAUUUGAAUCAAAACAGAAUUAAAACACAAAAUCAAAUUAAAGCAGAGGAUGAAUUCGCAAAAUGCGUGCAACAUGGAGGGCCAGAAGGGAAAUUAAUCCCUCCCUUCCAAAACGUUGUGCAGCAUGGGAUUAAAAUAGAACAGAUUUAAUAUGUCAUGGAAAAAUUUGAAAACGAUAAAAACAAUGGUUUUGAAAUGAUGGGAAACAUGAAAGGAUUAAAAACGAAAAUAACCCAUCAAUGUUUAAAAGUUAAAAUCCAUUUCAUUUGCAGCCAAUAAAACUCAUUCAAACCCUAAAAAUAACUCUACUCUGCCACUUUUGAAAUUGCCGCAGCUCCUCUCCCUCUAUGCCAUUUCAGACUCCUUUCACUCCGAUAACGACAAAACGGAGAGGUCUCCCGACGACCCUCACGAUAGUAAGUCCUCCUUUGCUUAUCCUUUUCUUUUUGUUUAUUAUUAUUUUUUAAAAGGAGAAAGAAAAGAAGAAGAUAGCAAAAUAAUAAUAAAAAACCAGUAAAAUCAAAGAAAAAUCGGAAAAAAAAUAAAAUCACCUUUUGAAAAAUAUUCUUUGUAUUCUCAAUAUUCUCUCUGUUUUCGAAUAUAUUUUACACCGAAAAAAAUCCCUCCCCCCCUUGUUACAGACUUUCAUCAGCUUUAUAUAGCCGAUUAAAACUAAAAAUCUGGAAAAAAAAAAUCAAAAACCCCUCUUCUUUCUGUUAUUUGCUGUGCUUGUGUCCCCCUUUUUCGCAGGUUUGGUGACCGUGGAGUGCGCGCGACGGGCGCGGAGCGACAAACACGGUGUGCGGGCACUGUUGCGGCGUGCGUGUGGGAGCUGCUGCGCCUAGGCUUCUUGCUGGUGUUUUGGGCCAUUUUCUGUUGGACUAGGGUUGAAAUUGGCUAUUGGGUUUUAAUUUUAUUGGGCCUGCUAUUGUAUUUUAUUAUUGAUUGGGCAGGGCAAAUAAUUGGUAUUACAAUAUUCUUACAUUCUUAAUGCCUUUUGGAAUAGGAAAAAAAACAUAAAGUAACACUACCAUAUAAAAAUGAUUUUGAUGAAAGAAAAUUUUAGACAAAAGUAAGUCCAAUACAAAUGAACAAAGAAAUAGAAGAAUUUUGUAAAAAAGAAAUACAAGAUUUUCUCAAUAAAAACUUAAUUAGAUAGAGCAACUCUCCUUGAAUUUGUUUAGCAUUUUACGUGAUGAAAAAUGCAGAACUCAAAAGAGGAACCCCAAGAUUAGUCAUUAAUUACAAACCUCUCAAUCAAGCUUUAGAAUGGAUUAGAUACACAAUCCCAAAUAAAAAUACUGAUUGCAAAAACUAUUCAAUGUCAAUUUUUUUUAAAAUUUGACUUGAAAUCGUGAUUUUGGGAAAAUCAAAUAAAAGAAGUUGAAAGAUACAAAACGACAUUUGUUGUACCAUUUGAGCAAUACGAAUGGAACGUAAUACAUCUUGGACUAAAAAUACUCCAUCUAAAUUCAUAAAAAUUAUGAAUGAUAUUUUUAAUCCAUAUUCUCAAUUUACAAUAGUAUACAUUGAAGAUGUAUUAAUGUUUUUUGAUAAUUUAGAAAAACACUUCAAACACUUAUCCUUUUUUGUCAAAGUUAUAAAAAAACAAUGGUUUAGUAGUAUCUAAAUCCAAGAUUAGUUUGUUUCAAACCAGAGUAAGGUUUUUAGGUCAUUAUGUUACCCAAGGGAUCAUUACUCCAACAGAAAGAUCUAUAAAAUUUUCCAGCAAAUUUCCAAAUCAAAUCCUUGAUAAAGUCCAACUACAAAGACUCUUAAGUAGCCUCAAUUAUGUCAUAGAUUUUUAUCCCGAUUUUAGAAAAUUAUGUAAGCCCUUGUAUAAAAAGCUCAAUAAGAAUCCACAACCUUACAAAUGUUCACACUUAGCUGAUCCAAUCGCCCCCAAAAUAGUAGAAACAAAUGCUUCUGAGAUAGGGUAUGGUAGGAUUUUAAAACAAGUCAAAUGAGAUAGGGUAUGGUAGGAUUUUAAAACAAGUCAAAUGAGGAAAAGAACAAACAAUCCACUUUACAUCUUGACACUGAAUCAACUCACCAAAAUUAUAGUACAAUUAAAAAAAAAUUAUCAAUUGUUUUAUGUAUUACAAAAUUUCAAAGUGAUUUAUUAAAUCAAUUUUUUUUUUACAAAUUGAUUGCAAAUCAACAAAAAGAGUUUUACAAAAAAAUGAUCAAAAUAUUGUCUCAAAACAAAUGUUUACAAUAUGACAAGGAAUUUUAAGUAUAUUUGAUUUUGAAAUUAAAUAUAUCAAAAGAGAAACUAAUUUUUUGCUUGAUUUUCUCACAAAAGAAUUCCUUCAAAUAUAACCCAAAACUCGAAGACAAAGGAAAAGAAAAAGUAGAAGAAUCUUCCUAAAAAAAAAAUCCUCAAAACCCAUCAUAUCAUAGUAUGGAAUUUGCCUACAAGAAGAAAAUGAGGGAUCAUCAUCCUCAUCAAGAAUCUCUAAUAAUGCAUCCCUCCAAGAUGCACAAGAUCCAAAUGAAAUUAGUUCGCAAAUAAAAAAAAUGGAUUGAGUCUCUCUUUCAAUUCCCAGAAGUGGCAUUAGCUAUAGCCCAAUCCAAAGAGGAAACUCCUCUCUAACAAAUUGUUGUUGAAGCAAUCAAGAUUUUAAAAAAUAGAGAGAUAGUUUUACACAAACCAAAAUCUCUCAAAAAUAUUUCAAAAGAAACAUCUCUUCAAGAGAUUUUUCCAAAAGAAGUACCAUCUUCACAGACUGUUGCACAAAAAUCCUUACAAUAUUUUACAAAAAAUGAUUUGAAAAUUUUUUCGCAAUCCGUUUCUUUUCAAAAUUGUGUAUUUCUUAGAUUUUCUUUCCUGGAAUUAUGCUUAUGAACAAGAUCAAUACAUGAGAAUCUCAUUGUUAGUUCGAAAUUUCAGAAAGAAAUUGUGAGACAAAUUCAAUGAUGAAAAAAAAUGAUUCCAAGUAUUUGUAUGAUCUUUUCAACAAAAACCCAAGGUUAUGCAAAUUCGUUGCCCCAAAUCAAACUACUACAAAGUUCUUUCAAGCCAAAUCAACUACCAACACAAUGUUGGCUUAGGCCAAAGAAGUAUUGUUUUGCAACCUUUAGAAAAUUCCCAGCAAAGCAAAGACAAAGAUGAACAAGGGUGAUUCAUUACAAAACAAAGACAAAGAUGGACAUGAGUGAACAAGAGUGAUUCCCUGCAAAAGAUGGAGAACAAUAGUAAAGAUUCUCUGCAAAGAAAAGACGGAGAUUAGUAAUAAAGAUUCUCUGCAAAAAAAAAAGACAUAGAUCAACAGUAAAGGUUCUAUGCAAAGAAAAGACGGAAAACAAUAGUAAAGAUUUUCUGUAAAAGUUUUGUAAUCAGAAAAUAUAUUCUCUGCGAUUGUAAUUAUAGUCUAGAAAAUAGUAAUUGUAUAAUCCUUGUAAUAAUGUAAGGGAUCAGAUUCCCCAAAGAAAGACGUUGUAAAGAGGUAAGAACCCUCCAUAAAAAGCUCUAAGUUUUAUAAUGAAAGGCACAACUUUGAAUACGAUUCAAUACACGACCCAAAAUACGACUCAAAAUCCUUUGAGACAAAUUUUUCCAAAAUUUUCUAACUUUCAAAAAUUUAAGUUUUUGUUUUUCAAAAAUUUAAGUAAAUCAAAAUUAAAUUUAAAAAUUUCGAGGUUUUUUUUUCAAAAAUUUAAAUUUAUAACAAAUCAAUUUUAAGUUUUCAAAAAAAUUAAGAUUUAAAUUAUUAUUUUCAUACACUUCCAUCCGAUCCUCAGAUCCUCGGGACUGGUCUACAUAUAUAUAUUUAAUAUUUAUUUUAUAUAUUUUAAUUUUGACAUAAUGAUUUAUUUAGCCCUACAACUUUAUAAAAAAAAUAUCUUUAACUCUCUAUUUAAUUUUCGUCAUUUUUAGCUUUUAAACUUGGGUAAUUUAUCAAAUUUCCACCAAAGCCAUAAUUGAUUGAAGAGAAAGAAAGGGAAUAUUUUGGGUUUCUCUAGUGAAAUAAGAUCAAAAAGUAUAGGCAAAAGACUGUAGUGACUUUGGUGAUGAAUAUGAGAAGCUUUUUAUCUGGGUUUGUUUGGAAUUUAAAUGUUAUACUUGAUUUAAUGACGAAGAAAAAAAAGAUUUGGGUUUCUUGAAAAAAAAUUCUUUUUUGCAUUUGUUUUACUAGUUUAUCAUUGUAAGAUGAUAUGAGAUUGAAGGAUUUUUCACCUAAAUAAUAUUUUUUUAAAAAUACUGAAAUGGUAUGUUUCAAAAAUUAUGUACCAAAAUGGUACAUUCAAUGGGGUGGAGGGUGGUGCAUAGGCGGCACCACCCUGGUAUUCUGAUAAAAUUUUCAUGAAAACAAAAAUAAAAAAUAAAAAAAUGGUAUUCUAAUGCAUUUUGAAUAAAGAAUAGUCUCAGUCAUUUAAGAUUGACAAAGAAAAUUAGAACCCAAUACGUUAGGGCUCAAUUUCCCUCAAAAAUCCCAAACCUCAAAUAAUGCUUUUAUUCAAAAAAAAACCUUUAAAUCAAGAAAAUAACCUUGAUGAAUGGUUAAAACCAAAAAAUAUUUUCAAAAGGGUAUGUUAAAGUUAUUAUACAAUAUGAUACAGAUCCUUUAAUUUACAGCAUAUACGAAUAAAUAUUCGCAAAUAUAUAUAUACAAAUACAAUAUAUCAGUAAAGUUGCAAACAUAUGUACACAUAUAUCAAACACACAUACCAGCAUACAUCUAAAAAGAGAGAAUGGAAUAUAUCAAAUAAAACAAAUACAAAUACAUGUGUUGAAAACAAAAUAAAAGUAUAAAAAUACGCAUAUAUAUAUUUACAAAGAAAAACAAAACAAUAUAUAUAAUAUAUAAAUAAACUACGAAAAUAUAUACAUGUAUGUGAAAAUAUGUAUGAAUUAUAAAAUGGAAAAAUGUAUAUGUAUUAUAAAAUGUAAAUUUAUAUACAUAUAUAAACUAUAUAUAAAAAACUAAGAAGAUAAUAUAGUAAUAAAAUAUAUAAAAUAUGUACACGUAUUUUAAAAACAUUUAAAAUAUAUAUACCUAUAUAAAAUGCAAACAUAUGCGUGUAUAUAUGUAUAAUAAUAAUAAUAAUAAUAAUAAUAAUAGUAAUAUAUAAUAUAAUAACAAAAAUAACAGCAACUUAAUAACAAGAACAAUAUUACAAACUAAUAUAUAAUCUAAUUUGUAAAAGCAAAUACAAUGGACUAAAUUUGAAUCAAAACAGAAUUAAAACACAAAAUCAAAUUAAAGCAGAGGAUGAAUUCGCAAAAUGCGUGCAACAUGGAGGGCCAGAAGGGAAAUUAAUCCCUCCCUUCCAAAACGUUGUGCAGCAUGGGAUUAAAAUAGAACAGAUUUAAUAUGUCAUGGAAAAAUUUGAAAACGAUAAAAACAAUGGUUUUGAAAUGAUGGGAAACAUGAAAGGAUUAAAAACGAAAAUAACCCAUCAAUGUUUAAAAGUUAAAAUCCAUUUCAUUUGCAGCCAAUAAAACUCAUUCAAACCCUAAAAAUAACUCUACUCUGCCACUUUUGAAAUUGCCGCAGCUCCUCUCCCUCUAUGCCAUUUCAGACUCCUUUCACUCCGAUAACGACAAAACGGAGAGGUCUCCCGACGACCCUCACGAUAGUAAGUCCUCCUUUGCUUAUCCUUUUCUUUUUGUUUAUUAUUAUUUUUUAAAAGGAGAAAGAAAAGAAGAAGAUAGCAAAAUAAUAAUAAAAAACCAGUAAAAUCAAAGAAAAAUCGGAAAAAAAAUAAAAUCACCUUUUGAAAAAUAUUCUUUGUAUUCUCAAUAUUCUCUCUGUUUUCGAAUAUAUUUUACACCGAAAAAAAUCCCUCCCCCCCUUGUUACAGACUUUCAUCAGCUUUAUAUAGCCGAUUAAAACUAAAAAUCUGGAAAAAAAAAAUCAAAAACCCCUCUUCUUUCUGUUAUUUGCUGUGCUUGUGUCCCCCUUUUUCGCAGGUUUGGUGACCGUGGAGUGCGCGCGACGGGCGCGGAGCGACAAACACGGUGUGCGGGCACUGUUGCGGCGUGCGUGUGGGAGCUGCUGCGCCUAGGCUUCUUGCUGGUGUUUUGGGCCAUUUUCUGUUGGACUAGGGUUGAAAUUGGCUAUUGGGUUUUAAUUUUAUUGGGCCUGCUAUUGUAUUUUAUUAUUGAUUGGGCAGGGCAAAUAAUUGGUAUUACAAUAUUCUUACAUUCUUAAUGCCUUUUGGAAUAGGAAAAAAAAC
This 14508-nucleotide long non-coding RNA is filed under the name Gossypium barbadense (sea-island cotton). RNAcentral's name for it is "long non-coding RNA (GBAR_LNC019871)". The record is from RNAcentral. Lineage: Eukaryota; Viridiplantae; Streptophyta; Magnoliopsida; Malvales; Malvaceae.